RNAcentral lists this ribosomal RNA (605 nucleotides) under uncultured Acidocella sp. RNAcentral describes it as "bacterial SSU rRNA". It matches the Rfam family "Bacterial small subunit ribosomal RNA", at positions 46 to 705 of the family's 1533-position model. Lineage: Bacteria; Pseudomonadati; Pseudomonadota; Alphaproteobacteria; Acetobacterales; Acidocellaceae. The record is from RNAcentral.
GCUUAACACAUCGCAAGUCGCACGGUCAGCAAUGGCAGUGGCGGACGGGUAGGUCAACACGUAGGAAUCUAUCUCUGGGUGGGGGACAACCGUGGGAAACUACGGCUAAUACCGCAUGAUACCUGAGGGUCAAAGGCGUAAGUCGCCUGGAGAGGAGCCUGCGUCUGAUUAGCUUGUUGGUGGGGUAAAGGCUUACCAAGGCGACGAUCAGUAGCUGGUCUGAGAGGAUGAUCAGCCACAUUGGGACUGAGACACGGCCCAAACUCCUACGGGAGGCAGCAGUGGGGAAUAUUGGACAAUGGGGGCAACCCUGAUCCAGCAAUGCCGCGUGUGUGAAGAAGGUCUUCGGACUGUAAAGCACUUUUGGCAGGGACGAUGAUGACGGUACCUGCAGAAUAAGCCCCGGCUAACUUCGUGCCAGCAGCCGCGGUAAUACGAAGGGGGCUAGCGUUGCUCGGAAUGACUGGGCGUAAAGGGCGCGUAGGCGGCACAUACAGUCAGAUGUGAAAUUCCUGGGCUCACCUGGGACUGCAUUUGAUACUGUGAGCUAGAGUGGAGAGAGGUUGUGGAAUUCAGUGUAAGGUGAAUUCGUAGAUUUGGAAAGA